Molecule: ribosomal RNA, 492 nt
Filed under: uncultured bacterium
Lineage: Bacteria
Description: partial 16S ribosomal RNA
Rfam family: Bacterial small subunit ribosomal RNA
Source: RNAcentral
AGUGAACGCUGGCGGUAGGCCUAACACAUGCAAGUCGAACGGCAGCACAGUAAGAGCUUGCUCUUACGGGUGGCGAGUGGCGGACGGGUGAGGAAUACAUCGGAAUCUACUUUUUCGUGGGGGAUAACGUAGGGAAACUUACGCUAAUACCGCAUACGACCUACGGGUGAAAGCAGGGGAUCUUCGGACCUUGCGCGAUUGAAUGAGCCGAUGUCGGACUAGCUAGUUGGCGGGGUAAAGGCCCACCAAGGCGACGAUCCGUAGCUGGUCGGAGAGGAUGAUCGGCCACACUGGAACUGAGACACGGACCAGACUCCUACGAGAGGCAGCAGUGGGGAAUGGUAGGCAAUGGGCGCAAGCCUGACCCAGCCAGCCCGCGUGGGUGAAGAAGGCGUUGGGGUCGUAAAGCCCUUUUGUGGGGAAAAAAAAGCAGCAGGUUAAUACCCCGCUGUUCUGACGGUACCCAAUAAAUAAGCACCGGCUAACUACGUG